GGGUCGGUGUCCGAGUGGUUAAUGGAGGCGGACUGUAAAUCCGCUGGCUUUGCCUACGCUAGUUCGAAUCUAGCCCGGCCCA
RNAcentral lists this transfer RNA (82 nucleotides) under Nostoc sp. FACHB-110. RNAcentral describes it as "tRNA-Tyr". It matches the Rfam family "tRNA". Rfam says of the family: Transfer RNA (tRNA) molecules are approximately 80 nucleotides in length. Their secondary structure includes four short double-helical elements and three loops (D, anti-codon, and T loops). Lineage: Bacteria; Bacillati; Cyanobacteriota; Cyanophyceae; Nostocales; Nostocaceae. RNAcentral also lists the same sequence under 2 other names. The record is from RNAcentral.